Molecule: long non-coding RNA, 1692 nt
Organism: Rhineura floridana
Lineage: Eukaryota; Metazoa; Chordata; Lepidosauria; Squamata; Rhineuridae
Exons: 3
Source: RefSeq, a predicted model, not a curated record
UGCUCUGCUCUUAAAGGGCCAGAACACACCAACUGCAUUCCUCUUUUCUCAUGCAUAAUGAUCACAUCUCUGCAUAUAAUGUUGUGAGGCUCAGUCCCAGCACUUGGAUGAACCUGUGCCCAGAUGACGGCCUCGCUGUUCCCAAGAACAUAGGCUGACUGGAGGCUGCACAUAACAACCUGGCCCUCUGAAGAAAGCUGCCUGGCCUACUAGUUGCCAACCUAUAGGUGCAGGGAAGACGGGCAACGUGGCACCUGUGGCAAAAGAAUUCACUGCCAGGGAGUGAAGGCACCAGCCAUCUUUCCCUCCCACCCGCAGCAAAGUGGCUCUCCAGGAAAACUAGUUGCUGACAAAGCCUCAAAGCCUCGUUUUCAGCUCUGGUGAUGCUUCUUAGUCAUCUCCUCCCUCUUUCCAGUUUAAUGAAUACUUGAGAUCAAGAGUGGAUAAGUUGCAAAGCACUACAGGCCACUCUGGAGACAUGGCAGAGGCAACAGAUAAUUGGCAUAUUCAGUAUUAUGUAAUUAGCACAACUUAAAUACCAUUUGCAGAAGUGUAUCUGGAUGCCCUGCUGCUCUGAUAGACCUGUAGGGUGUUUGGUCUGUGGCAGACUUUCAGCCUGAUCUUAAACAUGUCUCCUCCAAAAUAAAUCCCUCUGAGUUUAAUGGGGCUUCCUGGUAAGUAUGUUUAGGAUUGUGGCCUUAUUUUGUGCCAUCGAUGGGACCUGACAAAUAAGAAAUAGUAACAACCAUCAGUUUGCCCAAAAUAUCAUUGCAGUUCCUUGCGUACUCAGACCAGCCUUUAAUUCCUUUUAUUUCUCAACAACUCCCGAACUCAUAACUGAGCCUGGAUACAUCAGGUUGGCUACUAGUAGGGAUCAGAACACUGGACUAGAUCAACCUUUGGCAUGACCAGCAGAGCUCUUAUGUAUGUUCUUCAACAAGUUGUGAGGUGGCUAGGAAUAUCUCCAACUACUUUGUGGCACCCAUUGUAACUUCAAAGCUAGAUUACGUGAUGUGCUUUGUAUAGGGCUGUCCUGAAUGAGAGUUCAGAGGCUUCAGCUGGUAUAAAUGCCACAUCUUGCCCUUUUAUGGGGGUGGGUUAUCUGGAUCAGAUGAUACAGGUGUUCCAGUGUGAGUGCAGUCUCCCUGUUGCCUUCCAAGCUCAGUUGAAGCUGCUGGUGACCAUCUACAAAGAAUCCCUAAGCACAGGGCCGGAGCCAGGCAUGACUGGGGCCUUCAGCAUCAGCCUGCCCUGGGCCCACGGUGCCUGCAUAGAUGCCCCACCUACAUCACCCGUCACUUCAUGUCAUUCCCUGUGCACUUCGCAUGCAUGGCUGCCAUCAAUCAAGAUGGCAGUGGGGGCUUCCCUAACAGGCUGAUGCCCCCACUGCCAUCUUGGUUGAUGGCAUGCAUGCACACUACGCUACGCACGAACAUGUCUGCUAUCAACCAAGAUGGCAGCAGGGGCAGUAGCCCCUUAGGGAAGCCUCUGCUGCCAUCUUGGUUGAUGGCAGGCAUGUGCACGCUGCUCAGCUCAACUCCACAGAGAUAUCUCAGCUCCAGAGAACCACUUCGAGGUUCCUUUUUAACAACAUUUUUUUAAAAAAAGAUAAUUAUCUUAAAAUGCAUGCAGGUGUCACUUAGGAAAGUUAUUGUCUCUAUUUCACUGUGAAGAGAUAUGUUUCUGGCAAAA